GUACCUACGGGGGGCAGCAGUGGGGGAUAUUGCACAAUGGGGGGAACCCUGAUGCAGCGACGCCGCGUGGGUGAAGAAGCGCCUCGGCGCGUAAAGCCCUGUCAGCAGGGAAGAAAAUGACGGUACCUGAAGAAGAAGCCCCGGCUAACUACGUGCCAGCAGCCGCGGUAAUACGUAGGGGGCAAGCGUUAUCCGGAUUUACUGGGUGUAAAGGGAGCGUAGACGGCAGGGCAAGUCUGGAGUGAAAGGCAGGGGCCCAACCCCUGGACUGCUCUGGAAACUGUCCGGCUGGAGUGCAGGAGAGG
RNAcentral lists this ribosomal RNA (305 nucleotides) under uncultured bacterium. RNAcentral's name for it is "bacterial SSU rRNA". It matches the Rfam family "Bacterial small subunit ribosomal RNA", at positions 335 to 657 of the family's 1533-position model. The record is from RNAcentral.